GUCUGUUUGAAGUUAUAAAUGGUCUGGCCUGCUCACUGACGGAAGAUUGUUAAAGAGCCGCGGUAUCUUGACCGUGCAAAGGUAGCAUAAUCAUUAGCUUUUUAAUUUGGAGCUUGUAUGAAUGGUUGGACAAAAGAAAUUCUGUCUUUAUUAUAAAAGUUGAAUUUAACUUCCGGGUGAAAAGGCCUGGUUAUUUCAGGGGGACGAUAAGACCCUGUAAAGCUUUAUAUGCUGUCUAGACCUGGGGGAAGUAUAGGUAAAGAUCUUGUUUAGUUGUCAUAUUUUGUUGGGGCGACAUAGGUAUAAUUUAUAGUAACUGUUUAGUUUAUAUUACAGUAUAAUAAGUGUGUAAAGAUUAAAUGAUCCUUUUUAGAGAUUAAAAGAUUAAGUUACUUUAGGGAUAACAGCGUAAUCAUUUUUGAGAGUUCAUAUCGAAAAAAUGGGUUGCGACCUCGAUGUUGAAUUAAAAUACCUAGACGGCGCAGCAGUUGUUUAAGGAGGUCUGUUCGACCUUUAAAUUUUU
RNAcentral lists this ribosomal RNA (523 nucleotides) under Bathyplax typhlus. Its description in RNAcentral is "partial 16S ribosomal RNA". It matches the Rfam family "Bacterial large subunit ribosomal RNA", at positions 1819 to 2597 of the family's 2925-position model. The record is from RNAcentral. Lineage: Eukaryota; Metazoa; Arthropoda; Malacostraca; Decapoda; Goneplacidae.